This 465-nucleotide ribosomal RNA is filed under the name uncultured bacterium. RNAcentral's name for it is "partial 16S ribosomal RNA". It matches the Rfam family "Bacterial small subunit ribosomal RNA", at positions 28 to 507 of the family's 1533-position model. The record is from RNAcentral.
GACGAACGCUGGGGGCGUGCUUAACACAUGCAAGUCGAACGGAAAGGCCCCUUUGGGGGUACUCGAGUGGCGAACGGGUGAGUAACACGUGAGUAACCUGCCCUUGACUUCGGGAUAACUUCAGGAAACUGGGGCUAAUACCGGAUAGGAAUCCUUGCUGCAUGGUGGGGGUUGGAAAGCUUCGGCGGUUUUGGAUGGACUCGCGGCUUAUCAGCUUGUUGGUGGGGUAGUGGCUUACCAAGGCUUUGACGGGUAGCCGGCCUGAGAGGGCGACCGGCCACAUUGGGACUGAGAUACGGCCCAGACUCCUACGGGAGGCAGCGGUGGGGAAUAUUGCACAAUGGGCGGAAGCCUGAUGCAGCAACGCCGCGUGCGGGAUGACGGCCUUCGGGUUGUAAACCGCUUUCAGCAGGGGCGAAGCUUGUGGUGACGGUACCUGCAGAAGAAGCACCGGCUAACUACGUG